Small nuclear RNA from Manis javanica (Malayan pangolin), 107 nucleotides. NCBI's taxonomy places the organism in Eukaryota, Metazoa, Chordata, Mammalia, Pholidota, Manidae. The record is from RefSeq and is a predicted model, not a curated record.
GUGCUCACUUCAGCAGCAAGUGUACUAAAAUUGGAAUGAUACAGAGAAGAUUAACAUAGUCCCCACACAAGGAUGACACGCAAAUUUGUGAAACAUCCCGUACUAAA